UCCCUGGUGGCUCGGAGGGUAAAGCAUCUGCCUGCAAUGCAGGAGAUCCGGGUUCGAUCUCUGGGUCAGGAAG
Bos taurus (domestic cattle) is the source of this 73-nucleotide non-coding RNA. The record is from Rfam. Lineage: Eukaryota; Metazoa; Chordata; Mammalia; Artiodactyla; Bovidae.